Molecule: transfer RNA, 68 nt
Filed under: Marmota monax (woodchuck)
Lineage: Eukaryota; Metazoa; Chordata; Mammalia; Rodentia; Sciuridae
Description: tRNA.Gly
Source: RNAcentral
GGGGCAUGGCUCAGUGCUAGAGCACUUGCCUACCAUGUGUGAGGCACUGGGUUCAAUUCUCAGCACCA